RNA transcript from Rhodamnia argentea, 2095 nucleotides. It is a transcript of the gene named chloroplast envelope membrane protein, with no coding region annotated. The record is from RefSeq and is a predicted model, not a curated record. NCBI's taxonomy places the organism in Eukaryota, Viridiplantae, Streptophyta, Magnoliopsida, Myrtales, Myrtaceae. The transcript is spliced from 8 exons.
GAAACUGAGAAGUGAGAACAUCAUCCAUUAUCCAUUUUUGCAGGUUCUGAAAAGUACAGAGACGCGCAGCCUCUCUGCUUCAGCCCGCUCGAAGAUUCGACUCUCCGAAACCGUCCGUACGCUCCCCCUCCUCUUUCCCCUAUUUUCUUGAUGCCUUCGCUUCCAUCAGGAUCAGUUUCGUCUUGAACCUGCCGCAACGGGACGCCGUUGGACGACGGAAGCGAACCCGGCUGUCGCGCGAUCGUGCGUCGCUGCUCCGAUCGAACGAUUUUCCCCGUCUCUGCAUUGAUGCUUUUUCGCUUGCGCCGCCUCCUCCUCCGCGAUGAGCAAUUUCCGUGCCGACUGAGCGGACUUUCGGGGGCUUUCAGCUUCACUUCCCGGGCCGCGCUGAAAGAUGUUAGCUCCGGAUAAGAUAAAUGAGCACUUCGGUUGUUGCGACUCGCGGCCUCAUCUUCUUCGGCGCCAACGCCCCCAGUCUUAGCCCGUUGCGCCCUGUGAAGUUCUCUGCCAAGCCACUCUGCGCGAGGGCGCGGUUCGAUGUACUGAUUCCCAAUUCGAAGGGGAAGGGCCGCCACCGCAGGCGGACGAGCUGGUGGAAGAGGUUCUUCCUCGAGGACGAUGGGAAUUGGUUGGGGCUGAAGGACGACGACAUGCUCGAGGACGAAGUUGAAGUGGAGCAUUCGAGCGGCAAGAAGUUGCAGGACGGGGACAAGUUUGAGGCUUGGAAGAGGAGAGCGGAGGCCAUUGUGGAGCUGAGGGAAGCGCAGCAGGACUCGAGGAACGAGGAGUCUCGGAUGUGGGAGGACUGGCUUGUCGAAGAUGGCGCGGCCUCUUGGGAUGAUGGGAAUGGUGGAGCCGGGAAUUCGGGGGAAGGGUUGGUGUUGGAUUCUGGUGAAAGAGGUAUUGUUGAAUCAGUGAGUGACAUGAUUUUAGGAAGAGAAGAUGAAGAUACGCUGUAUGAGGAUCGCGUCUUUCGGUAUGCCUCGCAGAAUUCGGCUAAGUUUCUGGUGAUACUAAUAACAAUACCGUGGGCCUUGGACUUCAUUGUUCAUGACUAUGUUCUCAUGCCUUUUCUGGACAGGUACGUAAAAACUGUUCCACUUGCAGCCCAGAUGCUUGAUGUGAGAAGGCACCAAAAACUUGAAAUGGUUAAAGAAUUGAAAGUUGAAAAGGCAAGAUAUAGGUUUGAGGAAGAGAUUGGUAAAUCUCCACCACUAUCCGACGAAGAGGUCUGGUUGGAAUUACGCCAUAAAGCCUUGGAGUUGCGAGAUGAGUGGAGACUAGAAAACCGCAGAACAUUUGCCAACAUAUGGUCAGAUAUGGUAUUUGGGAUUUCACUCUUUCUGAUUUUGUACUUCAAUCAAAGUAAGGUAGCAUUGCUGAAAUUUACAGGUUACAAAAUUAUAAAUAACAUUUCGGAUACUGGGAAGGCAUUUCUUAUUAUUCUCAUCACAGAUAUUUUUUUAGGGUAUCAUUCCGAAUCUGGUUGGCAGACUUUGAUAGAAGUAAUUGUUGAGCAUUAUGGACUGGAAGUUGAUCAGUCUGCUAUUACUAUUUUCAUAUGCCUGAUUCCAGUUGUCACUGAUGCUUGUGUGAAGCUUUGGUUAUUCAAGUUCCUCCCUAGAUUGUCACCGAAGGUAUCAAACAUUUUCCAGGAAAUGAAGCGACAUUGAUGGAGUUAUCUAUCGGGAUAUCUGAUGCUGGUCUGAGAAAAUUUAGCAGCCCUCGUCUCCAUUACUACAUUCUUUUUCCCUCCACAGUUUUGCUGAACCAUUCUAGUGCAGGAGUCAGGUUCAAAUUACUGACUCUUCUUUUUCCCGUUACUGUAUGAGAAUACGAAUUGUUCAGAAAAUGCUUCAGAAAAAGUUCAGCGAAUUGGACGAAGUUCUGAAUCCUCAGACUACAAUGGCAGAUGAGAUGAAUGCUUCAGCAACUCGAGGUCCCACGGCGGUUAGUUUCUGCAUCUAUAACUUCCGGAUAGUCCUAGCAAUGUGGAGAGAUUUGUAAGGAGUGAAGUCAGUGGAUGCCAACUUUACGUUCGACUAGGUUCGUUCUGAUUAUUCAUCUUCAACUUUCAAUUCUACAUAAUUUACCA